RNAcentral lists this ribosomal RNA (642 nucleotides) under Burkholderia pyrrocinia. Its description in RNAcentral is "bacterial SSU rRNA". It matches the Rfam family "Bacterial small subunit ribosomal RNA", at positions 55 to 690 of the family's 1533-position model. The record is from RNAcentral. Lineage: Bacteria; Pseudomonadati; Pseudomonadota; Betaproteobacteria; Burkholderiales; Burkholderiaceae.
AUGCAAGUCGAACGGCAGCACGGGUGCUUGCACCUGGUGGCGAGUGGCGAACGGGUGAGUAAUACAUCGGAACAUGUCCUGUAGUGGGGGAUAGCCCGGCGAAAGCCGGAUUAAUACCGCAUACGAUCUACGGAUGAAAGCGGGGGACCUUCGGGCCUCGCGCUAUAGGGUUGGCCGAUGGCUGAUUAGCUAGUUGGUGGGGUAAAGGCCUACCAAGGCGACGAUCAGUAGCUGGUCUGAGAGGACGACCAGCCACACUGGGACUGAGACACGGCCCAGACUCCUACGGGAGGCAGCAGUGGGGAAUUUUGGACAAUGGGCGAAAGCCUGAUCCAGCAAUGCCGCGUGUGUGAAGAAGGCCUUCGGGUUGUAAAGCACUUUUGUCCGGAAAGAAAUCCUUGGUUCUAAUAUAACCGGGGGAUGACGGUACCGGAAGAAUAAGCACCGGCUAACUACGUGCCAGCAGCCGCGGUAAUACGUAGGGUGCGAGCGUUAAUCGGAAUUACUGGGCGUAAAGCGUGCGCAGGCGGUUUGUUAAGACCGAUGUGAAAUCCCCGGGCUCAACCUGGGAACUGCAUUGGUGACUGGCAAGCUAGAGUAUGGCAGAGGGGGGUAGAAUACCACGUGUAACAUUGAAAUGCG